CCUACGGGCGGCUGCAGUGGGGAAUAUUGGACAAUGGGCGAAAGCCUGAUCCAGCCAUGCCGCGUGUGUGAAGAAGGCCUUCGGGUUGUAAAGCACUUUCAGUGGGGAAGAAAGCCUUGGGGCUAAUACCCUCGAGGAAGGACAUCACCCACAGAAGAAGCACCGGCUAACUCCGUGCCAGCAGCCGCGGUAAUACGGAGGGUGCGAGCGUUAAUCGGAAUUACUGGGCGUAAAGCGCGCGUAGGCGGUCUGAUAAGCCGGUUGUGAAAGCCCCGGGCUCAACCUGGGAACGGCAUCCGGAACUGUCAGGCUAGAGUGCAGUAGAGGAAGGUAGAAUUCCCGGUGUAGCGGUGAAAUGCGUAGAGAUCGGGAGGAAUAACAGUGGCGAAGGCGGCCUUCUGGACUGACACUGACGCUGAGGUGCGAAAGCGUGGGUAGCAAACAGGAUUAGAUACCCGAGUAGUC
RNAcentral lists this ribosomal RNA (465 nucleotides) under Vreelandella stevensii. RNAcentral's name for it is "partial 16S ribosomal RNA". It matches the Rfam family "Bacterial small subunit ribosomal RNA", at positions 338 to 795 of the family's 1533-position model. The record is from RNAcentral. Lineage: Bacteria; Pseudomonadati; Pseudomonadota; Gammaproteobacteria; Oceanospirillales; Halomonadaceae.